This is a non-coding RNA of Rattus norvegicus (Norway rat), 68 nucleotides long. The record is from Rfam. Lineage: Eukaryota; Metazoa; Chordata; Mammalia; Rodentia; Muridae.
GGGGAUUUAGCUUAGUGGUAGAGCACUUGCCUAGCAAGCUCAAAGCCUGGGUUCGGUCCCCAGCUCCA